Molecule: ribosomal RNA, 468 nt
Filed under: uncultured bacterium
Lineage: Bacteria
Description: partial 16S ribosomal RNA
Rfam family: Bacterial small subunit ribosomal RNA
Source: RNAcentral
GACGAACGCUGGCGGCGUGCUUAAUACAUGCAAGUCGAACGGAAAGGCCCUGCUUUUGUUGGGUGCUCGAUUGGCGAACGGGUGAGUAACACGUGAGUAACCUGCCCUUGACUUUGGGAUAACUUCAGGAAACUGCGGCUAAUACCGGAUAGGAGCUCCUGCUGCAUGGUGGUGGUUGGAAAGUUUCGGCGGUUGGGGAUGGACUCGCGGCUUAUCAGCUUGUUGGUGGGGUAGUGGCUUACCAAGGCUUUGACGGGUAGCCGGCCUGAGAGGGUUACCGGCGACAUUGGGACUGAGAGACGGCGCAGACUCCUACGGGAGGCAGCAGUGGGGAGUAUUGCAGAAUGGGGGGAAGCGUGAUGCAGAAACGCCGCGUGCGGGAUGACGGCCUUCGAGUUGUAAACCGCUUUGGCCGGUAACGAAGCGUGAGUGACGGUAAUGGGUAAAGAAGCACCGGCUAACUACGUG